UGAUGACGGUAAUCCACCGUAAUAUGAACAACACUCAAUACCGUAGUUUUUGCAUGUAUUACUAUUUAAAAAUACAUUUCGUUACUGUUAAAUGUACGGACUAUUUUGCUGCAAGUGGAAAUAUAACGUAUUAUGGCAUUCACAGCAGGUCCAGUAUUUUUUGCAUGUAUUAUUUGUACAAAAUAGAGUUUAUAAUUGUUAAUUGCAAUGAAGAUUGUAGUUAACAAAUGGUGAAGUUAACAUGGGUAACAUGGGUAUAUUAACCAUUCUGAUUUUUUAUGGAAAGGCUGGGAAAGAAAGACAGAGAAAGGGAGACAAAUUGAGGGAUAUAGAGAGAGACAGAAGGAAAGAGAGAGACACGACAGGAGGGCAGAAGUGUGGCUGUGUUAAAAAAACACAACGUUUGAAGAUUGAACUUUUCAACUCCACUUCAGAGCCAUUUCUACGCACUCUGCAUUGCUGGAACAACGGCCUAACUGACUCCGGGCUAUAUUUCUUCUUGAAGUAACUUGCCUACAUAAUCAUCUAAGCUAUAUUUUAAUUUGAUGCUUUGUUUUCUACAAUUUUGCAUCACUGUUGCAAAAACGUUGCACAGAACGUUAGCUAGCUAGCUAACAUUAGUUUACCAAAACAUUGGCUAAGGAAAAUGUUUCAAUACAAUUACUGUGGCAGGUUGGUUAAAACACAGAGGGGUUAUGUGCUUCAUUGCAAACUUCAUAGAAAUGAACCACGUUGUUUGUUUAAGUGCGUUGACGCUGGUUGCAAAAAGACCUCUGUUCGAUAUGGAGCAUUUAAGGCUCAUUUCUACCGGACACAAAUCGUUAACUUAUCAGCUUCUGUUAACGUUACUGUCGGGACAGCUCUCAAAUGCGGUGUGGCGUUAUGUGAACAUCAGUGUCAAAAUACAAAACAGCUAAAAGCGCAUUUGAAGGAGCAUCUCUUGGAAGGACGCGCUGUGAGUUUUCCAGUGAGUGGAUAUAAAAACGUUUUCAUGGUCAAAUCCCCAUUCACUGCUCACAUGUCACACAAAAUGUAUAAUUGAUGGGAUUAAUUAGAUGUGCAAUUAUCCUGGUUGUUAAAAAAUGAACCACAUGAAACGCGAAGAUAAGUCUUAAUUGAAUCUUGAGAGUGAAUGUCAUGCUGUCAGUCCAGCAGCUCCCCCUGUGUUUGUUUGCUUUGUUUGUGUUUCCGCUGUCUCUGCAAGGAGCUGUGGUCUUCCCCUGUUCAUCCCCAAAGGGUGUGGCUGGAACAGCUGACGGCAAUCAGCCAUCAGGGGACUCUCCUACAUCAACCCGGGUCUUCCUGCCAUUCAGCGCCAGAUCGUUCUGUCGUCAGAGUGAGAGGAUCAUCCCAAUCCGCAUUGAACACCUGAGGAUACAAGCCUCAAGCAGAUGGUCCCGAACCGCUACGCUUCCUGGAUGUUGAUUUACCAUAUGCUUUCUUUAAUAUUUCCUGAUGUUGACUGAAAUAUAUGCCAACCUAUUGUAAUACAUUAUACCUUAUAUUUUUGCAAUGGAUUUCUGGAAAAUACAGAUGCUGGCAAUUUGCUUUGAACUUUGUAAUAAAAUACCGUAACUCA
Long non-coding RNA from Gasterosteus aculeatus aculeatus (three-spined stickleback), 1579 nucleotides. NCBI's taxonomy places the organism in Eukaryota, Metazoa, Chordata, Actinopteri, Perciformes, Gasterosteidae. The record is from Ensembl.